Molecule: long non-coding RNA, 3069 nt
Organism: Dromaius novaehollandiae (emu)
Lineage: Eukaryota; Metazoa; Chordata; Aves; Casuariiformes; Dromaiidae
Exons: 3
Source: RefSeq, a predicted model, not a curated record
GCGGUGCGGCGGCGCGAGCCCUGGGCGGCCGGCGCACGCGCGGUGCGGCGGCGGGCAAGAUGGCGGCGAGCAGGGCGGGUGUUUUGGCUGGACGGCGGCGGGCGAGGGCAGAGGCGGGCUGGAGUCGAGCAUGUGGGGGCCGCGGUGAGGCGAGGGCCCCGGUUCCUCCCCAGCGCGGGCCGGGGCGUGCGCUCGCCCCUGCGGACGCAGCCUGGAGGAGUGUGUGUGGGGUGCCUGCGCGGGGGUCUGGAUGUCUCUAGCAGCGGCACGGCAGCCUGAUGCCUCCUCUCGUCUGGGACGCGGGGUCCUUGGGGAGUUCCCUGCUGCCUCCUCUGGCGUUCUCUGCGAGCUCAUAGAUCCCUCCACCUCCUCUCCCCCCCCCCCCCCCGCCCCGCUCCCCUGUCUGGUGGGGUGGGAGACCGGUGGCUGCUCCCGCCGAGCUGAGAGCCACGUAGGGCACCCCAUGUGCUCACUACGCAUCUGGGAUGGCACCCCUGCCCUGAGGGCCCCGCAGAGUCCCACCCUUCCUGCAACCAGCCCCCCCAGAGCCAUUAAACCACCCACAAAUCCUGCCCCAACACCCCCACAGGCCCCAAAACGCCUCCGAGCCCUGCCGCAAUGUUGUCACUGACUCCAGACCUUCCCCUGCACUCUGUGCAAGGCCCCAAACAUUCCUCAAACUGCUGCCAGACCCAGUGCCCGCAGCAGUGAGGCGUUCUAACAAAGAUGGGGUGCGAUGUGCGUCUCCGCCUCGACUCAGUCCCGCUUUAGAGAAACAGGAAGUUACAGCACUUCCUGGUGAAGAGUGUUGACGGGUGAAUGUGCGGAUGACAAAGAGACUUUUCUCUCUUUUCUUCUGAGCCGCCUCUCAGAAGCCUCUGUGUGUGCACGAUGUGGCUGAUCUGGGAUAAUCGUGCUGUGCGCAGUGCUUAAGGAGAACAUUGCCCUAAAAUGGAGGGCUAAGGAAUAGCCUAAAAAACCUAAAAGGCUCGGGAAGAGCAAAAGAGAACACCGAUGGGCUCUGGGAAGCCCCAGUGAUGCUAGCGAAAACAGCGUGGCUUUUAGGCACCUCCUCAGAGCAGCAGCAAUGUCUCGCUCCAGCCUAUGGGACAAUGGGGACUCUUAAUUACCGCCUUGAAUUACCACAAGUGUUGCAAAAGCAGAAGGGACUAGGGAGCAUGCAGAGCAGGUUAUGGACUAUAUGUCAAGUUUAAACAAGCAACAAGCCCCUCUGCAAACAGAAACAGGUUUAGCCCUAAGUAAUAGAGGAAGGUAGCUGUGAGUAACGUGAAGCGAAGCGGUGACGUCAGUCACCCCGAAAGCCUCGGAGAAGCGGUCUGAAAAUCUGGUACCCUCGCGACCUCGGCAGUCUUUUUGGUUUGUUUGGCAGGGUAGCCCACCGAAGGGGGACAUCUCGAAGAGAAGCAGCAAGACCUGGGGAUCCGGUGGUUCAUUUUGGUCGUCGCCUGUGAGGCCAGCAUGCAAGAGUAAGAGGAAGCUAGGAGCAGUCUCAAAAAGAGAUGGAACCGAGGACAGCAAAUGCUGACGAGGAGAAGAGACGGACGAGCGUUUGCUUGCGGUUAAUACCGAAGGGACGGGAUGAAACAAGGAAGCCAGAAUGCAGCGGCCCCUCGAUAUCACCAGGAACUGCUACAGGAGGAGGCGUUCUGGCACGGGUAACUAGGGUAAGUAUCGCUAAUGACCGUUAGCAGUUAUUUCGGCCUCCCCGAGGCAGCGCUGAGGACUAAGUAACCUGAGGGGCUCUGGCCUGGGUUAGGGCAGAAGUGCAGGCAGGCGGGAUCAGGCAUUUUCCUCUCAGCUCUCCAAGCUGAAUCCUAGCCCUGAAGGAAAAAGCACUGGGGGGAGGCUACUCGGACACCUGCCACGUCGAGGGCAGGGGCAGGAGCUGACCCUUCCCCGACGGACGGACGGACGGACAGACGCUGGUGCGGCGGUGACUCUUUGGAUAUCGUAGGUAAGGGGAGGCACGCUGGUGCCGAGCUCCAGGGCGGUUUGCCUGAACACGAUGCCCGGGGCAGGAGGUUACGCAUUGUGUCCGGGGCUGGGAGCUGGUCCCCGAGUCCCAUGUACUUGGGAGUGCCUGCGCUUGCCAGGGAGCCCGGUGCUGUUCCCAGAGCUGCGGGGAAUUUCCCUUGCGUUGCCUGGACCCUCGGGGCUCUUGGGGGUGUUUCCCCUCAUCGCAAGGGCAGCCAGAGCCCCUCCAGGGCUGCGUGAGGUCCCCGAACCGCUCCCGGAUUUGCUUUUGGCACUCCGCAGUGUCGCUCGUGUGCCUGGGGCAGCCUGCAGGCGCCAUCCUGUCAGCCGCGUUGAGCCCUGCGGCGUGCCUGGUGACCCCUCUGGUGUGCGCCAAGGCCCUUCCUCUGUAUUUUGGUCUGCCCCAGAGCCCUGCACUUGCCCUCUGAUGCCCUCAGGACCCCUCAGUUCACAUUCUGGGUUGCCCCCGAGCCCUCUGCGUGCCUUUCGGUGCGCCCCGUGGCCCCGUGUGUGUUUUGCGGCACGCCGCAGAGGUCUCUGUUUAGCUUUUUCUCCUGUCCUGGAGUUUUCUGGGUGCUUCUGGGUGUGCCCCAGGGCCCUCCUUUUGGUGCCCCCAGAGUCACUCUGUUUGCUCUAUCGUUGUUCUUUUUUUUUUUUUUUUUUUUUUUUUUUUUUUUUUCUUGACUUGUGUUGCACCCAGAGCUCUCGAUUUGUUCUCUUGUGCUCCGCAUACUCCCCUUUCCGCACUCUACACCCCAGGCAGGGCUCUCCCUUCAGCUCUCAGCAAGCUGCUGUCAGGAGAGUGGGGGUGCCUCUGCUGCCCUGGCAGCCCCAGCUGUCCCUGAAGGGGCUGAUGGCCAGGCCCCCUGCCCAGUUCCUGCAGGCCCACAGCUGCGGGCCCUGGGGCUGGGAUGAAUGCCAGGGGGAGCUGGGUGGCAGGACAGGCCCCAGGUGGGGCUGAUGGCAAGGGCAGGCCCACAUUUGGGGGCUGGGGCCGCAGUUGGGGGGAGCUGGCGCUGGGGCAGGAGCUGGGCAGCGGAGCUGCCACGGAGCACGGCCCUUCGGGACCAGCCC